CCUACGGGAGGCAGCAGUGGGGAAUCUUGGACAAUGGGGGCAACCCUGAUCCAGCCAUGCCGCGUGAGUGAUGAAGGCCUUAGGGUCGUAAAGCUCUUUCGCCUGUGAAGAUAAUGACGGUAGCAGGUAAAGAAACCCCGGCUAACUCCGUGCCAGCAGCCGCGGUAAUACGGAGGGGGUUAGCGUUGUUCGGAAUUACUGGGCGUAAAGCGCACGUAGGCGGAUCGGAAAGUUGGGGGUGAAAUCCCGGGGCUCAACCCCGGAACUGCCUCCAAAACUAUCGGUCUAGAGUUCGAGAGAGGUGAGUGGAAUUCCGAGUGUAGAGGUGAAAUUCGUAGAUAUUCGGAGGAACACCAGUGGCGAAGGCGGCUCACUGGCUCGAUACUGACGCUGAGGUGCGAAAGUGUGGGGAGCAAACAGGAUUAGAUACCCUGGUAGUCCACACCGUAAACGAUGAAUGCCAGUCGUCGGGUAGCAUGCUAUUCGGUGACACACCUAACGGAUUAAGCAUUCCGCCUGGGGAGUACGGUCGCAAGAUUAAAACUCAAAGGAAUUGACGGGG
This 562-nucleotide ribosomal RNA is filed under the name uncultured bacterium. RNAcentral's name for it is "bacterial SSU rRNA". It matches the Rfam family "Bacterial small subunit ribosomal RNA", at positions 338 to 918 of the family's 1533-position model. The record is from RNAcentral.